Molecule: ribosomal RNA, 339 nt
Filed under: uncultured eukaryote
Lineage: Eukaryota
Description: SSU rRNA
Rfam family: Eukaryotic small subunit ribosomal RNA
Source: RNAcentral
AUAGCGUAUAUUAAAGUUGUUGUGGUUAAAAAGCUCGUAGUUGGAUCUCAGCUCACGCUUGGCGGUCCACAAUGCGUGGUUACUGCCAGGCUGAGCACUCUACCGCAUUGUCCUGUGGUGCUUUUUACCGAGUGUCACAGGCGGUCGGUACGUUUACUUUGAAAAAAUUAGAGUGCUCAAAGCAGGCAAUUCGCCUGAAUACUGUUGCAUGGAAUAAUGAAAUAGGACUUUGGUUCUAUUUUGUUGGUCUUCGGAACCAAGGUAAUGAUUAAGAGGGACAGACGGGGGCAUUAGUAUUGCGACGCUAGAGGUGAAAUUCUUGGACCGUCGCAAGACUAA